GCCAGUUUUAUCCUUUUCUUCCGAGGCCGGUCCUCUGGCGUCUCUCCAGAUAUUGGCAGCAGAUGGCGCUCUAAGCUUAUAGUAAAAAGCUGGUGGCUCGAGGAAGGCGGUCAAGAUUAAUUCUAUCCUCUCUUUCAGCUCAAAGUCCUCCACCUCAAACUUCUUAAGGAAGCCAGUUCCCUCCGGCAGCUGUGGGGUACUCAGCGUUGCACCUCCACUAACCAAAUUCUAACCCAGAGAAAACAACAAGAGGCUGCUGAGGCAGUGACCAGGGCUGCAGAGGAAGAGUCUCGGCAGAGGAGAAGCCUGGCGGGAGAGUAUGCAGCAAGCCUGGCUCACCAACUGGAGAUCCUUCACCAAGACCUCCGCACCAGGCAGGACCAGUGGGCCUCUUUCUGCUCGGCACUGAUGGAAGCUCAAUGGCUGCUGAAAGCAUCUGCAAGCGCUAACC
This 451-nucleotide long non-coding RNA is filed under the name Rattus norvegicus (Norway rat). RNAcentral describes it as "long non-coding RNA NONRATT033671". Lineage: Eukaryota; Metazoa; Chordata; Mammalia; Rodentia; Muridae. The record is from RNAcentral.